AUGCAACGAGCGUCCAGGGAUGAACGCGUUCUGGUUCACGCUGACGAGGGCAUUGAGCUUGGGCGCGAGACGCAGCGAGAGGACCUUCGCGAAGAUCUUGGCGACGAGGUGGAUGAGGCUUAUCGGCCUGUAGUCUCCAAGACAGCGAGCGUCCGCGCGCUUGGGCAGCAGCGUGAGGAGCGCCUGGUUAAGGCAGCUGAAACCACGGCCUCGGAGCGCGUAGAGCUGCUGGAACACGUCGAUGAGGUCCUGCUUCUCCCUGUAGAAUGUGAGAGGGUUUUCGCUAAUCUUUGUGAAAUUAAGUUUGAUGAAGAUUUGAAUUCACGUGAAAAAAUAUCUCAAAUUAUGCUGAAGAAUGUAGUUGAACAUAUACAAAGAGAGUGCAUUUAG
RNAcentral lists this ribosomal RNA (390 nucleotides) under Triticum aestivum (bread wheat). Its description in RNAcentral is "partial small subunit ribosomal RNA". The record is from RNAcentral. Lineage: Eukaryota; Viridiplantae; Streptophyta; Magnoliopsida; Poales; Poaceae.